Mus caroli (Ryukyu mouse) is the source of this 1151-nucleotide long non-coding RNA. RefSeq lists it as uncharacterized. NCBI's taxonomy places the organism in Eukaryota, Metazoa, Chordata, Mammalia, Rodentia, Muridae. The record is from RefSeq and is a predicted model, not a curated record.
GUGUUCUGUGGCCCUGCUGACAGAGGCUCCCCUUGGGCAGCCCUGUACACACUCAGCUUCUUCCCACAAUGCCACCUGUACCUGACACUCAGUAGGCCAUCAGCUCACUACACAAGCUAUCCCUCUGGCAAGAAAGCUCAUGGACCAACACAAAGAGAAUACCAAAGAAGAGGCUUGAAUAAUUCAACAAAGAGCCAGAGGAGUCCAGGCGCCUCACACAGGCCCUGGCUGAAACUCAAAGGAAACCCAGAAAAUGGGAAUCCACAGAAAGUCUCUGCAUGAAGAUUAAAAUCGCCCUGUGAUAAAACAACCUCAUGUAUCAGAGUCAGAGACUGCAGAAAAUAAGAAAAUCCCGCCAAGUAAAUUGGAAGUAGGUCAGGAGGACCAGGGAGAAAACACAGUGAAAACGAAGUCCAUAGAAGAAAAUUGAAAGAUAGCUGUGAAUUAAGUGUGGGAGAAGCUGUAGUCUGUUCCCUAGGAAACAUGAUGAAACUUCCUCAGCUCAACUUUGGGGCUCAUCCGUGGCCAACUUUACCCAGAGAUCACCUUCAACAUGGCUCACACAGUAUGGAGACUCCCUGAAGCCUUCCAGGACACAGGCUAGGGUGUGUGGUGAGAUCUGACAUCCCCCCAACCUGCCUUCAUCAGGAACGCUGUGAGCUUGGUGACCCUGGCACCUCCUCUUGGUGACUUUGCACACCAAUCCAACAGCUCUGGUGGGAACUCCCACUGCAUGAGCUAUGCCUGGAAUCUCCCUUCUCCCUGCGAGACUCCAUCAUGGCACACCCACUGAAGACCCUGAAUAAAGGCUGCCCUGCUGUGCUUCAGCACACACCAUCAAAAAGGAGUAGACUGCACCACCCCCAGCAAGAAAGAAGCAACAUAAACCACAGAUGUCGCUGGCAGCUCCUCGGCUUCUCCGGCUUCCCCGGCUUCUGGAACAUGGCCCAGCCCGAGAUCAGGAAGCCAGUCGAGGAAGACUGCUGCCUUGGCUAUUUUCCUUGUGGCUGUGACAAGAUGCUUGACCAAAAGAACGAUUUAACCAGGGUCAUGGCCCAAGAGCAUGGUCAUCAUGGUAGUCGUGGUGGCCGGACCAUGUGGCAGCUGAUCCCAUAGUGCCCCCCGUCAGGAAGCAAUAAACUUUGUCCUUA